GCUCGCGUAGCUUAAACUAAAGCAUACCGCUGAAGAUGGUAAGAUGGGCCCUAGAACACCCCGCAAGCA
This 69-nucleotide transfer RNA is filed under the name Benthodesmus tenuis (slender frostfish). RNAcentral describes it as "tRNA-Phe". It matches the Rfam family "tRNA". Rfam says of the family: Transfer RNA (tRNA) molecules are approximately 80 nucleotides in length. The record is from RNAcentral. Lineage: Eukaryota; Metazoa; Chordata; Actinopteri; Scombriformes; Trichiuridae.